RNAcentral lists this ribosomal RNA (747 nucleotides) under Triticum aestivum (bread wheat). RNAcentral's name for it is "partial small subunit ribosomal RNA". Lineage: Eukaryota; Viridiplantae; Streptophyta; Magnoliopsida; Poales; Poaceae. The record is from RNAcentral.
AUGGCAGCUUGUGUCUUCUUGUUCAGCUCAGUUACUCCACUAAUUGCUGGUUAUUGUGGCCUUCUCUUUAAUGUGGGACUUCUUGGUUUUGUAGUUCUUUGGUGGAAUGCUUAUGGUGGCCUUGCUUUUGACCUCCAAACUCUUGCAAAGCGAAUCAUUAGUCUAUGUUGUUCAGCAUCUGGCUGCGAGCGCAAUUGGAGUGUAUUUGCUCAUAUCCACACCAAAGGGAGAAACCGUCUAGAGUACAAGAGAUUGAACAAGCUAUCAUAUGUCUCGUACAACCGGAAAAUGGAAGCUAGGUUUCAGAAUCUGCGUGAGCAAGGCUCUAAAGCAAAGAAAUCUAGUCCACUUGUCCUAGAAGAAUUUGAAUGGGAUAAUGAAUGGGUUGAUAUCAAUGCUGAAAUGGUACAUGAAGAUCAAGCUCAAGUCAUGGACGGUGAAACACCACUACUUUGGUCUCAGGUUGAUGAAGCCAUGGGUGCAUCAACUUCUCUAGCAGGCCGCAACUAUCCUAGGAGAGCUCGUGGUGAUCCUAGCGAGCCUAUUGCACGACCCAUAGGCCCUUAUAUCACCUACACUCGGAACAACGCAAGAACAAGGCUGGUUGUGCAUGAUGAAGAGUUGAGGGCUGAAUUAGAAGCGGCAGAAUAUGACAAAGACAUGGAGAGCAGUGAUGAAGACGAUGCUGAAUCACCAGAUGAUGAAGACACUGAUUUUCAGCUUCAAGACAUGGAGCUUGAGGCUUGA